This is an RNA transcript of Cloeon dipterum, 8417 nucleotides long. It is a transcript of the gene named persulfide dioxygenase ETHE1, mitochondrial-like, with no coding region annotated. The record is from RefSeq and is a predicted model, not a curated record. NCBI's taxonomy places the organism in Eukaryota, Metazoa, Arthropoda, Insecta, Ephemeroptera, Baetidae. The transcript is spliced from 12 exons.
GGUGCCGCGAGUUUGCACAUCCACGGGCGCGGCGCACGGAGAAUUUCGCUCUCUUCAAAUUUUGAGGGCAGCUGCCCUGAAAAUGUUCCGACUAAACGUGAGCUCAACUAUUUGAACCAUCAACGAUGAGAUAAAUGCUCAAUUAAUAAAUUGGCUACAUCAGCUCUACACGAGAAAAUUUCCUACCUUCAAAUAUGGAAGAUAUCAAAAGGAAUGUUGCGGAAGAGAAGAAAAUGCCUGAUAGGCCAGCCAAUGUAGGAUAUUUUCUGUCGAAAAACCAACCCAAACAAGACGCAGACAAUGUUUGUGUCCUCGUCGUUCAUUACAACUUUGAAGAAACAAAGAUCGAAACCUGGAUUCGGAGAGGUGAUGGUCAGGACGUGAAGAAUCUGAAACGGACCUUCGAAGAGAAUCGUAACUGCAACUUCCACAGUAUUUUGUCACCAGAAAAAGGUGAGUUGCUCGAACUUCUCUCCGAUCAAGAAAAACUGCUAGGAUUAUUUGGCUGUUCAGAUGUUCCAUCAGUGUUUGUGCUUUACAUUCUUUCUCACGGCCACAGAGAUGGAAUAAUCUUCACAGACCACUUCAAGGACGAUGUUCGCGUUGAAGAUCUGGCCAGCAGUAGGGACCCGAAAGAGUUGUUCGUUUCCUUCACAACAACCGAGAUAUUCGAGUCUCUGAACAAGCUGACCGGUUUUGAGGAAUGUCUGAAACUAAUUAACUUUGGUCCAUGUAGAGGAGAACUGGCAGACAAAAUUUUCGACCCGAAUGAAAAAUACAUCGAAUACAACAACGAAAAUUCUUGCCGAAUAACCUACAUCCCUUGGAUGAAGAACACGGUUGUGUUCUUCUCAACGGUCGAAACGACCUUGGCCAACAGAGACCCGUCAGCAGGAACACCUUUUGUCCACCAUUCUUGCGAUGUUUUUAAUUCGCUUGAGAAGGACGAGAGUCUCGUUAAUGUCCUGACAACUAUUCAAUAUGAGAUUCACGCAAGUUACACAGGACAAACACCAGAAUUCAAGAUGUCUUCGCAGGACAGAAGUUUCGUCUUCUCAAAAAGUUUUACUGACUCAUCUGCCUCAACAUUCGACGCUAAAAGCAACAAAAUGGAUAAGAAACGCGGUUUUUACUCUUGGAAGUCAAGCUCUGGGGAACACUUGCGACACCGCCUUGCGUUCUUAUUUUCCGCAGAGCCAAAUAAGCAGUUGGAAGAAAUUAGAACAUCGCUGUCCGAAAACUUAAAUUUUGAGACCAGCGAAAUGAAGCUGAGUGGAACGCCGUGGACGUCCAUUAAUAAAGCCUCGUGGCGAGACCUCGACAUUGGCUGCAUUUUCCUGAUAUUUUUUGGCCUUUUGAGUAAAAACAAAGACACGAAUGAGGUUUGCGUGCAGGUGGACGGUCAAGAAACUGCGGUAUCUGAAAUACUGCGCGAGUUUAUCGGGCCAACGAACGAACAGUGGAUUGGAAAACCGAAAGUAUUAAUCCUUGUGAAUCAGGAAACGAGCUCAUUCGACGCAAUGGCAUCAAAAAGAGCCAGGAUGGAUAUUCCAGCCACAAACCACAGUGGAUGGUUAGUCUUUGUCUUGCACAACAAAGCUACACUUCAAAAGCUGAUAGAAAUCUUCAACGGACAAGAUUUGAAAAGAGAGAAAACUUUGCAAGAACUGCUCACAAGUCAUCUUCUUUCCGAAUCAAAAGAAAAUAGGGAUUUUCUUAACUCGACACUUCAGUAUCUCCUCAAUUUUCCCGACCCUUUUGUUAAACCCACCUUCUCAGUUACCAAGCCUAAAAAAUCUCGAGAAAAACACAUAAGCUUCGACAUCUUGAUUAAGGAAUCGGCAAGAGAAAAUAAGAUUUUUAUCAUGAGUUCAGUCGCAGGAACAGGAAAGACGACAAUCCUUAGGGAAAUGGCUUUUCAGCUUGGAAAACUAAAACCAGAAUCACAAAUUUUACUCGUUUCCCUGCCGGAAGUUUCGUUCAGCUCUCUAAAGCGGAACGUGAACGAAACUGAAUUUCUCGCGAAAGCCACACAUAACCCACCAGAGAAAAUAGCCAAGAGCAUAGAAAACAAGCUGUGUGUUGUGUUGCUUGAUGGGUUCGAUGAAAUCAUUCGUCCUGAAAACCAAGAAACAACACUGAAAGUAAUACAAGCUCUAGAAGAGAAGCAGAUAUCCGUGUGGAUCGGAACGAGACCUCACGCAGCAGAAGCAAUCCAAAAGCGGGCAUCAAACGCUGUUCUAGUGCAGAUUGGUCCCUUGGAUGAAGAGCAGCAAAUCGAGUUAUUUCAGCUGGAGACGGGCAAGAGUAAAGACGAAAGUGAAUUGUUCAUCAAGAACUUCGCAUCAAAGGACAUCUUGAGAAAUCCUUUGCACCUUUCUUUGGUUGCCAAGUACGGGGCAGAAGGUAACUUGUACCAAAUCUACGACAAGGUUGUGCGACACAAAGUGGAACUCUCUCUUCGAGACAAGGAAGGAUAUGACGAGAGCAAAAGGAUCGAGUUUAAUGAAAAAAUUGCCAAUGCCAUGGGAGAUCUCCAAAAGUUAGCAAGUUGCCACAUCAGAGGAGUUAAACUUGCUGAUUACACGAAAGACGACCUACAAAAAAACAAUUACUAUGGCAUUGCAACGUUUGAAAACAACAAGGCGAAUUUCAUUCAUCAAACUUUCGCCGAAUUUCUUGCAGCCCAGUAUUUUGUAAGUAAUAUAGAUGAUUUCAUCACCGACACUGCAAAAUUAUUUUUCGGGACAUCAUUUUCGUGGUGCAGAAAGUUUGUCGAUCUGUUCUAUUCCACGGUUUUGAAUGACAAUGAAAUAAUUAAAGAGCAUAGAGCAUCAAUUCUUAGAGUCAUGAAGUUGAAUCCAGAUGCAUUUUUGGGAUUGAUUGCUAAAGAUGGUUGUAUUAAUAUUUUCAAAAUGAUAUAUCCAUUUAUCACCUUCCGUAAAAACGAAGAGAGUAAUUGCAAUUCUGUUGCAAAUGAUAAGACUCUCUUGGUCAGAGCAAUCGAAGGCGAAGCGGAAGAAAUUGCUAUCAUGCUGCUACAUUCAGACUUGAUCAACAGUGAUGAUGAGAUCCUUACAACUUUACCUUUCCUGUUGAGGUCAGUAGCAGAAUCAAACGCAACUCUCUUCUUCGAGAAGCUCAGGACAAAAUAUCCUAAAUUGCCAGAUAUGAUCGGCUCUAGAAGAUUUUGUAUAGACGCUGGAGUGAUAGCAGCAAGAAAGAAUCACGGCGAAAUCCUUGAUCUUCUGCUCGAAAGCGGUGUCGACAAAGAUUUCGUACAUCCUGAGGAAGGAAACGCUCUACAUUGUGCUGUCAGUUAUGGAGCUUUGAAAUGCGUGGAAGUUUUGCUUAAGCAUGGCGUGAAAUUAGCAAAAUGUGGAUUUAGAGAAGAAUACUGCAACCCAUUGGAAGAGGCUGUUUUAAAAGAAGAUGUGAAUCAGGUCAAGUUCUUGUUGGAGAAAAAUGUCAAUGGACUGCCACGCUACAUAGAAAUAUUCGGAACCAAUGAAGAUGAUACAUUUUCGCAUGCUCUAAAAAGAUAUGUUUGUGAGGGGGGAAGAAACUUUGAAUUCAUAAAAUGUUUAUUAAAAGAGGGUCCAAGUUUGAAUUACGUGGGAAAUGGCUAUGAAAAUGGUCUUCUACAAUUUUUUGCUGAAAGGGAUAUUUUUGAAAUGUGUGAAUGGCUUAUUGACGUAGCAGGGCUCGACGUGAACACUUUACGACCAAGUGGAGAACCAAGAUUUAGAUUGGAAGAAAAGCGCGUCAAUUUAUGCAUGGAAUAUUUUCUAAUGCUGCAGAAGAGUGACAUUAACACGACGGAUAAAAGAGGAAAAACUGCUCUUCACUGCGCUGCGGAACGUGGAUAUUUUGUACGUGUCCAAAAAUUGAUCGAUUCUAAAGCAAACGUUCGAGCUGUAGACGAAAAUGGAUGGAAUGCAUUUCAUUUUGCAUGCAAAAGUAACACUGACCAAACAGUAAAAGUCAUUCGAUUGUUGCUCAACAAUGAUCGUGAGCUGGCCAAAGUGAAAACCAAAAGUGGUCAAACAGGGCUGCAUAUUCUUCUGAAAUUCAGCGAGAUCAGCGAUGAGUCCUUGGUAGAGGGAGCACGUUUUCUGAUCCAAGAGAUUGGAUUAGAUGUCAGAGCAAAGGACGAAGAUGGAUGGAAUGCAUUUCAUUUUGCUUGCUAUAAAUACAGUCAACAUAAAAAAGAAGUGAUUCGAUUCUUGCACAGCACUGAUAGUCAGCUGGCUAAGGAGAAAACCGGAAGUGGACAAACAGGGCUGCAUAUUUUUCUGAAAUGCAGCGAUGACCACUUGGUUGAGGAACUGUUUUUUAUGGUCGAAGAGAUUGGAGUUGACGUAAGAGCAAAGGACAACAAUGGCUGCACAGCGUUGCAUAUUGCAUUUGACAAAGGAAAUAAUUGCGUUUACUAUUUGAUGACAAAAGAUAUCGACCUGGAAGUAAAAACCAAACGGGGGAGAACGUGCCUUCAUGCAGCCGCUCUAAGGGGUGAUUUAGAGGCUCUGCAAAAUUGGAUAGAACUGGGAGGAAACUUGGAUGUGGUAGAUGAAGAUGGAUCGACUGCGUUGCAUUUGGCUUCAGAAAAAGGACAUUUGCAAUUUGCGAAAAAGCUUUUAGAACGCGCGGCAGAGGAAGUUAAUAAUCCAGAAAAUGCUAAGGGAUCUGUUGGAUCCACACUGAAGGAGAUCGUGGUGGUAAACAGAUGUAACAAAAAAGGAAGGACAGCUCUGCACCUUGCUGCUGAAUCAGGAAAUGUUGAUUUGGUGGACAUUUUGCUUGAAAAUAACGCAGAUUUAACCCAUACGGACCUUGAGGGAAAGAAUGCAAUCCACUUCGCUAUCAAAAACGAAAGAAUGUUACGGUUCCUCAAUGAGAAGAACGGAGAUCUUGUGAAUCAGCGUACAUUAGAUGGAAACACAACUCUACAUUUGGCAAUAAACCUCUUUAAUAAAGAUGACAUGAACAUCAUUCGGUGGAUUGUAAAUAAAGUAGGCAACAACUGCUUGAACGCAAAAAAUGCUUAUGGCGACAUACCACUCUUACUUGCUUGCAAAAACGGGGUGUGGAAUGUCGCCGAAUUGCUGCUGACCAGAAAUGUUGAGGUCAAUGUCUCGAACAGGUGGGGAGAAACUGCAAUGCACUACGCCGCAAGAAAAGGAAACUUGGAAUUAAUGAGACUUUUGCUUAAGAAAGGUGCGGAUUUGACUCGAAGAGACAACAAGGGAAAGAACGCAUUGCAUCUCUCCGCAGAAAAUGGAAACUUGUCUUUAGUGAAGCUGAUGCUUGAGAGCGGUGCGGAUUUGACUCAAAGAGACAACAAGGGAAUGAAUGCCUUGCACCACGCAACGAGACACUUUGAGAUAUUGUUAUUUCUUCACGAGAAAAACGAUGGAUUGUUGAAACAGCGUCUUAAAGACGGAGACACAACCCUCCAUUUGGCAUUAAAAACGUGGGACAUUGACACUGACACAAUUCUUUGGCUUCAUGAACAAUGCAAAAUUUAUAUGAAUUCAAAAAAUAGCGAGGGUGAGACACCGCUUCUGCUGGCUUGCAAGUAUAGAAGGUGGAAUGUUGCUAAAAUAUUGAUGGAUAAAUGCGUCGAUAUAAACGUGAAAGAUAAAAAUGGAAGAACGGCCCUGCACUACGCCGUUAGUUUGGAUAGAUUAGAUCGACUUGAAGAUUUAUUUGCUUUUGAUUUGGUGCAAGAGUUGCUCAAAAGAGGCGCAGAUUUAGCGUUGACAGACAACGAUGGGAUGAACGCAUUUCACCAUGCGAUAACAAACUUUCGCAUGGCUUUAUUCAUUCAUGAGUUGAAUGGUGAUUUGGUAAAACAGCGUUUGAACAAUGGAGAUACCACUUUGCAUAUGGCAAUCAAAAUACGCGGAUGGAAUAGGAAUGAUGAGUUUCUUGUUUGGCUUGUGGAGCAAGACGUCGUUGAUUUAAACGCAAGAAAUGCUUUGAAAGAAACUCCGCUGAUUCUGGCUUGCAAGGAGAGGCUCUGGGAAUGGCAAUGGAAAUGCAAAUUUUUUGAAAUACUUUUGUCAAAAAAUGUGGAUGUGAACAUAAGAGACAUUUGGGGGAAAUCUGCUCGUGACUACAUAGACGAAACUUGUCCAUUUCAUUUACUUAAAAGGUUUGAUGAACUUGCAGAAGCUUCACCCAGUAAAAAAAUGGGAAUGAGUUAAAUUCACUUUUUCUUGCCCAGAUUUCUGACCUGUUUACUUUUUCUUACUCCAACGCUUGAUGACUUCAAGCAUCGCCACCAACGUAAAUGAGGACAGAGAAGGAAUAAUUAACUCUAAUUUAAGUUGGAAAGUGUCAGAUGAGUUAAUAUUAUUGUAUGCAUGACGUUUUCAGAUUAUAUAUAUAGUUUCAUAAUUUUACUUUAUUUUAAUUUUAAUGCCUGUUUUAUACAAAGAUUUUAAUCAAUUUUAUAGAAAAUGAGCUUUGUAUAACUUUGUUUCAUAUUUCGAAAUAACGAAUUUUAUAUGUUACUUAGGAGUGCAAACAUUCUGUAUAGAUUUUUAUGUUAAUAGAGUGUUUUUUAGGGUUAUUGGCAGUAGCAAUUAAUUCUUAAAGAAAAGCGACGGUUAGGAAAUUUUUGUGCUUAGAAGAAAAUAAUUGUAUAUCAUGUGUAAAUAAUAAGAAUGGUCUGCUAAAUGCUUUUUACAAUAAAUUGAAAUAACUUGUAAAAUAAAAUUUUGUUAAAUUCCUAAAACAGCAAUAUUUUUAUAAUUCCUUUCUAUUUUUUUUAAAUCAUGUACAAAAUCUAUUUGAUUCCCUGCAUGUAAAUACGUUUCUUACCUGGUGCCGCCCCUUUGGAAGGUCGGCUGAUUUUCCUCCUUCAAAUCUAUUCCUGAAUCAUGAAAUUAUUUCCUUUGGUUCAAUAAACGCGGACGCGUUUGGUUUACUUGAGUAAUAUUUAUUGUUGUAAAUUUUAUUUUAAAUGCAUGGAACAAUAUCAAUUAAUUCUUGCACGAGACAAAAGUUUGCUGAGCAAUCAGAGUCAAUUUUUUCGAUUCGAGAAUAACAAAAAAUCCUGAAUUUUCUUCUCGUGGAGAGUGAAUCUUUAUUGUUUUUGGUGCAUUGGCACGGAAAUAUUUAGCGGAGCGGGAAAAUUAUCGUCCGGAAAAAGGAACGCUCGAAAUUGUUCGAUUUUACUGCAAACGUGAAAGAUUAGCUAUUCUGGCAAAUUAACUGGCCAAAAAUUGCAAUCGUUCUGAAAAUAUUAAUUUCUAGCUGCUAAAGUUUAUGACGGAAGGUGGCAACGGAAUUAUCAGGAACGACCUGAUUUGUUGAGCCGCAGGAUAUGACGAAACGAUCGAGAUAAUUUUUAGCCGUCUGUCCGGCCGAAAUUGGCGGCCAAGAAACGCACAUCUUUUACGAAAUUUUGGCUCCGUGCUGGCAAACGCAGCGGAAUGUCCGGAAAUAAAGCAGGUACCUUUUUCAGGACAGAUCCACACACGGUAAGUCGGAGAUUCUGGCGACAAUUUCAUGUUUAGUACCGCGUCCACUUCGUCCGCAGCAUCCAGCAUCUAUACACUCAGCACUCGCGUGCUGCCAUUCUAAUCUUAUGGGAGAUGAAGUGGCGCUUGUUGCUCUAGGGGCGGGGCUUGUUAAUUUACACCGAGCUUAUACCGGUACUUUUUGGGAGAACCACUACUUCCGACUUCACCAUUACUAAGAAAUCUUUGAAUAAAAGCAUAUCAAUUUUAUUAGCAAUCGUAAAUAUUCUGAUAAAUCAGUUGAAGUUUUGAAAUAAGUGCAAAUUUUCAUAUUUUAAAUAACCGGUUAUUUAAACUAACUCAAGCCAAGACCAGCCGCAACCGGUUUUCCUUCACCAGAAACAAACAACAAAUCGGUUUUCCCAGAAGCGAGGACCAGCUUGACCGCCAUGUUGAAUUCGCUGCUCCGCUCUUCCUGCCGCCUGUGACGUCACUUAAGAUGGCGGCGCAGUCGGCUCUCGCCCUUAGCAGCAGCUGUGAUGCCCUUGACGCGAGCGGCUUGCUUUGUUUUGAUUCGGAUCGCGCUGGUUUCGCGAUGCCUACGUGAGUUUCGACACCUGAAUUAAUAAUCCUGCGCAGCGGACCGGCGGAGACGUCACGCAACCGAGUCAUUAUAUAAAUCGCUGGAAAUGCUGUCGAGCGUCACGAGAGUGGUCGGCCGACUCCUGCCGUCUGCAACUGCAAUUAGUGCGACCAGAGCCAUGGCCACCAAGACGAUCCCUCUGUCCGACGACUUCCUCUUCAGACAGCUGUUCGACCGGGAGAGCUGCACCUACACGUACCUGCUGGCCGACCUGGGCAGCAAAGAGGCCGUUUUGAUCGACCCUGUGCUGGAACUGGCCGAAAGGGAUGCGCAACUCAUCUCGCAACUCGGGCUCAGCCUGAAAU